CACGUAGGGCGCAAGCGUUGUCCGGAAUUAUUGGGCGUAAAGAGCUCGUAGGCGGUCUGUUGCGUCCGCUGUGAAAACCCGGGGCUCAACCCCGGGCCUGCAUUCGAUACGGGCAGACUAGAGUUCGGUAGGGGAGACUGGAAUUCCUGGUGUAGCGGUGAAAUGCGCAGAUAUCAGGAGGAACACCGGUGGCGAAGGCGGGUCUCUGGGCCGAUACUGACGCUGAGGAGCGAAAGCGUGGGGAGCGAACAGG
RNAcentral lists this ribosomal RNA (253 nucleotides) under uncultured bacterium. RNAcentral describes it as "partial 16S ribosomal RNA". It matches the Rfam family "Bacterial small subunit ribosomal RNA", at positions 524 to 776 of the family's 1533-position model. The record is from RNAcentral.